Molecule: long non-coding RNA, 415 nt
Filed under: Ananas comosus (pineapple)
Lineage: Eukaryota; Viridiplantae; Streptophyta; Magnoliopsida; Poales; Bromeliaceae
Description: long non-coding RNA (ACOM_LNC035591)
Source: RNAcentral
AAUAAUUUUAAAAUUUUCGGAGUAAUAAGGUGCUAGUUUGAAAAAGAUGCUCAAAGAGCCACCCCCGGUAUCAUAUUGGUUAGAUCUCUAUUUUGAACGUGUUACGAUAAAUUGGUGUCAAUUUUGUUGAAUUUCUAAAAAUCAUUUUUCAUCAACUCACAUCUUGAUAAUUUUGAAACUUGAAAUCAGUUUUGAUUAUGAAAUUUUUGAUGUUUGGAUGUUUUUUGAAAUUUUAUAAUAUAUUAAUUUCAUCAUAAUAAUUUUUGGAGUAAAAACCUUAAUUUAUAUGAAAUUAAUUUAAUUUGAUGGAUUUUUAAAGGAAAAUUUUUGAAAUCAAGGAUCGUGUACCGGUACAGGAUCGUGUACCGGUACGGGUACUGUAGCCGCGGAUGUAUAUCCGGUUACAGAGCUAGUG